GACGUAGGGGGCCAGCGUUGUUCGGAAUUACUGGGUGUAAAGGGUUCGUAGGCGGUGUGGCAAGUUGGGAGUGAAAUCUCUGGGCUCAACCCGGAGGCUGCUUCCAAAACUGCUGUGCUUGAGUGUGGGAGAGGCGCGUGGAAUUGCAGGUGUAGCGGUGAAAUGCGUAGAUAUCGGGAGGAACACCAGAUGCGAAGGCGGGUCACUGGGCUGAUACUGACGCUGAAGUGCGAAAGCCAGGGGAGCGAACGGG
This 253-nucleotide ribosomal RNA is filed under the name uncultured prokaryote. Its description in RNAcentral is "partial 16S ribosomal RNA". It matches the Rfam family "Bacterial small subunit ribosomal RNA", at positions 524 to 776 of the family's 1533-position model. The record is from RNAcentral.